Molecule: long non-coding RNA, 4691 nt
Organism: Taeniopygia guttata (zebra finch)
Lineage: Eukaryota; Metazoa; Chordata; Aves; Passeriformes; Estrildidae
Source: Ensembl
GGCAUAAUGUUAUUACUAAACAAAGUUAGACUCUUUAUCUUUAUUACAUUGGAUUAAAAAUGACUGGAACCAACACAUGUGCAGUUGACAAAAUAACUAACCUUUUAGUUCUAAUUAGUACUUAAUUAAAUUGAGCAGCAGUAUCAGACUUACAGCUACAUUAAAUUGUCUUUGAAUCUGUCUGAUUCCUUUAUUUCUCCCUUGUACCAGUAAGGAAGUUUCAGACAUGAAAGUGUUAACUGCUGCUUUGAAAUUACUCCUAUUUAAGAAGAAAAAUCAUAUUACUUUCUUAAUCUUUCUAAUUCUAUUCUCAUAAGAUGAUCUUGGAUUUGUUCCUUUAGCACAGACUCUUUAGUGCAGUCCUGAUUUCUGUAUUAAUGAAUUGAGAAGAUGACAUCAGGCUCUUAGAUCCUUGAUAUCCCAGCUGAUACAUGUGCACAUGCUGACUUCCUCCAGGACACCACAACCCAUAGUGAUAAUUGCAGUGCUGAAGCUACCCGCUGUGUUAAAGGGAUCAGCGCUUCAAACAAGAUGGCAUUCUUGCUCAACUCUUUGUUUCCCUUCUAUGAGAUGAAGAACUAGGGAUAUGCUGACCCUGGAAUCACGUCUGCAAAGUGUUUGGAGUUGUUUGGGAACAAGGCUGAAGAAAAUGGAGAAAUAUUAUUAGAUUAUGUUUAUUUUUUCCAGAUUUUUUAAAAAAAAUAUUUUCAAUACCUCUGCUAGUGAAGAUGUAAGAGUGUUGUUGAUGGUUCCACACACCUUUUUGUGGGAAGACUUGUAGUUCAUAAAAAGAAAAAAAAAUGGAGGAGAACAUAACUGUUCUUGAAGGUGGUGAAUGGUGUGGGGAAGAUGGAUAUGAGGAGUGGCAGAGGUCACUUGGUUUGUUCAGCCUGGGGAGACUGAGGGAUGAAUCGACAGCUUCCUCCCAAGGCAAAACAGACAGGCAGGCACUGGUCUGUUCUCUUUGUUGACCAGUGACAGGACUCGAGGAAAGGAAAUGAAACUGUGUCAGAGGAGGUUUAGGUUGGAUAUUAAGAAAAUGUUCUUCUCCCAGAUGGUGGCUGGGCACUGGAACAGUCACUCCAGGGAAGUGGUCACAGCACCAAGCCUCACAGACUUCAAGAAGUGUUUGGACAACAUUUUCAGAUACAUGGUGGGAUUCUUAGAGUUGUCCUGUGCAGGGCCAGGAGUUGGACUCUGUGAUGCUUUUGGGUCCUUUCCAGAUAUUGAUUCAUUCUGUGAUUCACUGAUGACAGCAAGAUAACUGCAGCAUCAUCUAAACUAACCCAGAAAAUCACCCACACGUCCCUUAGUGCUCAGUCUUCACUGGAGCCAUGUCUCCUAAUUAACAUCUGCAGUGAUUACCAGAUAUUCUGAAUUAAAUUGUAUACAGGCUAAUUUUCAAAUUGUGUAUUAUUAUCAGACACUUCCUGUGUUGAAAUUGUUGUCUGGACAUACUUCACAAUCAAAGCAUUGUGUAGCACUAGGUACAUUUCUUUAUAUAAAAAAACAGAGAGAAGCUCUUGAGCUGCAUGAGAUGGAGUGAAAUUGCCUUAGUGAGACAGAAUCUGAGUUUUGACUCCCUAGCUGUCAUGAAAGUCAAACACAAUGAAUCAUCUGAGGAAGAGCUGGAGAAUUUGGAACAAAUAGAUUCUCUGAAGAAGGUAUAAAUAGAGCUUUAUGCUGUUUAUGUUCUCUGAAGAGCUAGGAGGGCCUCUUCCCUUCAAAUUUGCCAUGCUAUUAGGAGCACAAAGUGCCCUUUUUGGGGUGAGAACAUAGAAAUUUCAUUUUUCAGGAGUGAACGCUUAGCGCAAUCAGCACUUGAGAACAAGGCUGAAUGCUCCAAACUAUGAAAGCCCUCACAGAACAUGACUCUCCAUAUAGAACCCUGAGAUCUUUAUGAAUAUGUAACUUGAUAACAUCAGGUAUCUAUGCAGGUAUAUGCAGGGAUGUAUAGCUAUUCUGCAAAGAACUGCUUCUCUGCUUCAGUCUCCGUUGACAUUUCUUUUUGCCUGUGAAUGAAUUAAGCACAAGACUGAUCACAUAAUGUGGACUAUGAACUCGAUGUUCAAAGUCAAGAUGAAGAGUUCAAGAGCAAGUUGAAAUAUUUGCUGAAGCAUUUUUGUCAGCCAAACCCUGUAAUAUACUUACAGACUUACACCCCAAGGGAAGAACCAUUGCAUACUUAAGAUCAUAACAGAAAGAGAAGGAAAUGUAGUAAGAACAUUUCUGUAUUAAAGUAAUUUCACUGCUGUAUAAUUUUCUAACCAAAAUGACAUCCAAAGACUUCCAAGAUAACCAUGUCUCUAAAAUAGCUUUUCUUCUGAAAUUUUCAUUUGCAUUUAAUCUGUGGUGCUGUGAAGAAAAAGAGAACACAGCUGUCAUUUGAGGGUUCACACCCCUUAUCAUGAACUGCAUUGAUACCUGUGGCUAGCUUGGCUGUUUCCCUACUAAUCCACGAGAAAACUAAGCUUGGCCAUCUUCUGCUCAGCAUGGUUUGUUCCCUCUACCUUUUCCAUGCUGCCUUAAAAUUCCUGACUGAUGUGUAAAUAAUCUGUAGAAAUCUGGGUUCCCACAAAUCUGAAUGGGAGUAAAGAGGCAAGGAGGGAAUGGCAAACCAGCCACGAAUACUGUUGUCUAUGGCUAUAGACAUAUAGACGUAUCCACAGAGCAGGUGGCUUAUACUGUGGAUGCCUUUGUGUGUCCUCAUGCAGAUUACUUGGUAGCACAUGACUAAACCUUGAGUGCCAAUACAUGACUCCAGAGACAUUUCCUCAGUUUAUGGGGUGAGGGAAAAAAGCAGAAAUUAUAUUUCAGAACAUAUUAGAUAUUUCUGAAAUACUUGAUGGUACAUAUACUGGGUGUUUAGUACAUGCUUUAUACCUCAAAGUAUUCAUGCAUGUAUAUUUACUUUUAUAAUUUAUAGACCAGUUACAACACCAAGCUCUCUUCCAGAUGUCAAGAAUAAAAUUAUAUUUCACAGCUACUUUUACAACUGAUAGUAAAUCUUGAAGAUGGUACAAGUACUGUGAAAGUCAUCUGACCUUGAGCAAGAAGAAAACCCCACUGGAAGACUUCUAUCUCAGAGAUAAUCAAGGUGUGCCUGCAAAUGGUUGCUUAUUUGCAGCCAGAGACUUUGGUUCUGCACUAUUUUCCUUUUUAAAAUGAAAGGUGCAAGUUUAACCCAAAAUUCUCAAAGCCAAAAAUACUUUCUUUCAAAACCAGUUGACCAAAUUGUGAGGCUGACAGUUUUUGGAAAGUUUCAUGAUAGUUCUCCAAGAAAUGUACACAUCAGCAUUAAGCAGGCACAUCUUAAUAAAAGGCAAACAUCAGGAGGAACACCAGUAUUGUAUUAUGAAGCUUACAUUAUAUCAUAUGCUUGUGUUGCCUAAAAAUGUUCCACAUGGCUCUUUCACUUGUCCCAAUGACCCUUUAAGGAGCCAGAAGAUUCUGCCAGUAAAAAAGAAGCCAGUUAAGAGUAUCAGAAACCAAAUGUUAGGACUAAAGUUAGGAGAAACCAUCAAAAUCACCUAUGGUGUUUAGUCCACAUUAUACAAGGAAUUUUUCCAAGCCUAUGUUAUAGUGUCAAUGAAUAAUUGUAAAUAUUAAAGAGACAUGGAUACAGUGAAAAUAAUUUUGGAAACUUUUCCUUGUAUUGCAGCUCAUGGCUGGGAAAUUUUCUGAGCAGAAGGCAGUAUGUACACCACAAUGGUUAACAGAUUUCAUGGUCAUUCAUAUCAACAGUUUCAACCAUUCACUGAAUAGGAGAAUAUAUAUUGUUGUCUUUUAAAUUUCCUUUUGAUUUUUUCCAUUCUUGUCAUACAAUUCAUGGUCAUCAAUUGCCCUGUAUUAGCUUUCACCAUGCCAUUUGUGACACGGAGUAUCCUCUUCCUCUGCAACUGCUCUUCACUGUCCUGCUUCAGCUAUAUGGAAUUGUUCCAUACCUGUGGAGCAUCACCUUUUAUGUAACUAUUCUUGUCCUAUUUUAGCCUUUUUGGGGCAGGGCUGCACACACUCUAGAUAAAAUAAUGACAGAUUCAUACAGUGGAAUAAAGAUAAUGUUUUCUGAAGGUCAUGAAAAAGGGCAAAACACUGAUUGCUCCGUGGAGCAAAAAAAGAACUAUUUCCACAGAUAGAAAUACUCAUUAUAAUCUCUCCUUCCAAAAUAUCAGUAAGUAGAAAACCUUAUUACAAAAAAGAAUAUUCACCUGAUAAAAGAAAAAAACACCAGGCAUCAAAAACAAUAUACAAGCCUACAGUGAAAGCAUAGGAAAAGCUGUGAUAUAAACCCUCAAAUAGUCCUAAAAUCACACAGUUCCACAUUAAUUUCUCAAAAUUUCCAUAGGAGCAACACAGCCUCUGAUGCAAAACAUUUACCUUCAUCUUCCAUCAAAUUCAAUAGCUUAUGUUUAGUAGUAAAUUCAUGAGAGUUUCAAGCAUUCAACCUCUGGAAAAUAUUUGGCCCAUUCUAGAACUUAACCCUGAAAACAGUAAAGUGAGCAAAUGAAUCCCUUUAAAAGAGGUUUUCAAACCUCUAAAGGCAACCAUGUGGGUCUCUUAUGUCAAUGCAUCGUUUCUAUAAUCCACUGUCCAGCUACAGCAGCUCAACUCUGAAGUGGUGAUGUAAGCUAAAACCCUAUAAUGCUCUUAUUCAGUGAUAGAAAAUCUUCAAUAAACUGAGCUUUCCAAAA